This 500-nucleotide ribosomal RNA is filed under the name uncultured bacterium. RNAcentral's name for it is "partial 16S ribosomal RNA". It matches the Rfam family "Bacterial small subunit ribosomal RNA", at positions 30 to 523 of the family's 1533-position model. The record is from RNAcentral.
AUUGAACGCUGGAGGCAUGCCUUACACAUGCAAGUCGAACGGCAGCACGGGAGCAAUCCUAGUGGCGAGUGGCGAACGGGUGAGUAAAGUAUCGGAACGUGCCCAGUCGUGGGGGAUAACGUAGCGAAAGUUACGCUAAUACCGCAUACGAUCUAUGGAUGAAAGCGGGGGAUCGUAAGACCUCGCGCGAUUGGAGCGGCCGAUAUCAGAUUAGGUAGUUGGUGGGGUAAAGGCUCACCAAGCCGACGAUCUGUAGCUGGGCUGAGAGGACGACCAGCCACACUGGGACUGAGACACGGCCCAGACUCCUACGGGAGGCAGCAGUGGGGAAUUUUGGACAAUGGGCGAAAGCCUGAUCCAGCCAUGCCGCGUGCAGGAUGAAGGCCUUCGGGUUGUAAACUGCUUUUGUACGGAACGAAAAGGUUUGGCCUAAUAAGCUGAGCUCAUGACGGUACCGUAAGAAUAAGCACCGGCUAACUACGUGCCAGCCGCCGCCGUAA